This 96-nucleotide transfer RNA is filed under the name Nitrososphaerales archaeon. RNAcentral describes it as "tRNA-Trp". It matches the Rfam family "tRNA". From Rfam's summary of the family: Transfer RNA (tRNA) molecules are approximately 80 nucleotides in length. Their secondary structure includes four short double-helical elements and three loops (D, anti-codon, and T loops). Lineage: Archaea; Thermoproteati; Nitrososphaerota; Nitrososphaeria; Nitrososphaerales. The record is from RNAcentral.
GGGGUCGUCGUCUAGCAUGGUUCCUCGAGAACCCUAGUGAGGUAGGACGGCAGGCUCCAGACCUGUAGGUCGUGGGUUCAAAUCCCACCGACCCCA